Malus domestica (apple) is the source of this 802-nucleotide non-coding RNA. The record is from RefSeq and is a predicted model, not a curated record. NCBI's taxonomy places the organism in Eukaryota, Viridiplantae, Streptophyta, Magnoliopsida, Rosales, Rosaceae.
UAGCCGUCACUCCCCAUUUCGUUUUCACUCAAACACACACACUCUCUCUCUCCCCUCCGCUGCUUUCUUCCUAUCUGGUCUCUGCUUCCUCAGUCUUCUCUCUCUCUCUCCUUCCUCUCUUCCUCCAAAUCACUCGCCCCUUUCGAAUCGGAAGUCUCUCAUCUCGCCGCAACUUCUUCUUGCCGUUUCGAGUCUCGACAGCAAAAGAGAUGAAGGUGGUUGUUGCAUACUUGUUGGCUGUGUUGGGCGGCAAGACCACCCCCAUUGCCGAAGACAUCAAGGACAUCCUUGGCUUCGGUAACUUUCCUUUUACCUUUUUGUGGUUUCUGUUUAUAACCCUAAUUUAUUAAGCGUCGUUCGUGCCUCCCUGAGAGAGAAGGGAGGAAGAAGAAGGCGGAUGCAAUUGCAGAAGCAGCAAACCUAAUGGAAAUGGAAAGCUCUGAAAAGAAGAUGACAUCUGAAAAUUCCUCCUCACCGAAGCCAAAUUUCGAAGAUCCUAUGAAGCUGAACCCCUCUCGCACUUGGUAUCACUUCUCUCUCUCAAAAUACAAUUUGGAAGCACACAUAUCCAUUUUUUUUGUUAUCUCUACCUUUCAUAUUUUCAAUUAAUUUUAUGCAAGGGUCCAAAAGACGGUAGUAUCACUUUAAACCCUAACACUAAGUAUUCAUCACACUAAACCCUCUAGGACAGUGGUGUAUUAGAAUAGGAAUGCGAUUACUAUAUCUAUAUUCUAUUUCUUGCUUAAUUGUAUUUCCUAUUGUAAACAGGGCAAGAGUUAUUGUUUUCCUUACCUUACUAGGA